UUCUUGGAAAUCGUGACGUAAAUUUUGUGGAAAAACGUCGGAAACAAUUGGAAAAUUACUUGAGACAAUUGAUCAAUUAUAGUCUGGGUGCUGUUCCAGAGUUAGGUGAAAAUCCUUGCAAGAGUUCUUUGUUCAAAUACUUUCCAUUUUUCAUGCAAACUUCAACGGUAUCAUCUGUUUCAACGACGACAACAACAAAACAAACUGUUCCUUCUACACAUAAUGGUUAAAAGGUAAAACUUGUAGGAUGUCUGUCAAAAAAAACAGAGCAUGGAAAUUGUAUAACUUUUAUUGUAUAUAUAUAACAUACGUAUAGUUCAGUAUAUGUAAAUAUAAUAUGUCUACAAAGUAGAAGAAUUUACUGAUGCAUCAACUUCAAGGACUCUUUAUUGUAUGUGUUAUAUACAGAUAUAAUUUGUCAGUAUUUGCUACUAUAUAAUAGUACAUCAUACAGGGUUUUAACAAGUUAAAACAUAAUAUUUAACUUGAAAUGAAAGCAAUCGUAUUUUAAAUACAUCACACGAAACCUA
Molecule: long non-coding RNA, 530 nt
Organism: Xenia sp. Carnegie-2017
Lineage: Eukaryota; Metazoa; Cnidaria; Anthozoa; Malacalcyonacea; Xeniidae
Exons: 2
Source: RefSeq, a predicted model, not a curated record